GAAUCAAGUGGGACGAGCGAGCCAAUUACAUUUUUGCGUCCACUCCACAAAUUCGAUGUGGAAAAAUUGGAUCUUUUGCAAGUUACCAAUCACAACAGAUAGAUGCUCCACUGUCGCGUACGAAGCCAUAUUCAUCUAUGACAUCCUUGGGAGUCUCCUUUAAGAGCUUAAGGGCCAAUUACAUCUAGUCUUCCCGAUAUCGGGCUCGAAGUCAAUCCCGAUGUCGGGCCUAAUAAUCGUUUUCCGUUUCACUAAAUAUCGGCGCAUCAUUAACAAUAUUUUGUCUUCGUGCCCCUCCCCCGCAAAAAUCGGCAGACUAUUGUACAGAAAAUUACAGACAAGGCGUCUCCGUGACAUCAGUUAUAAAAUCGUCGUAAACCUGAUAAGAAUGUUAGAUCAUGAUGAUUUUUGAUGUAAUCAAGUUUAGAAUGAUUGAAUGAAUCUACAAUGAUUUUUAUUACCAUUUUUAAGAUUCCGUAUUGAACACGACUUUAUUUACGAACGCAACAAUUUUGUUAUUUUUGAACGCAAUUUACGAACUGUCAUUUUCAUUAUCAUGGCGGAAGACGAGGACGGUGUAUCAAAUAAGAAAUCGGCCCAAAAUUCAAAUAAUGCAGGGUCUGCGCAGGACAACGAACAGAACAGAACGGAUUUGCCAUACUUCCCCCGUCUACUAACCCCGGAAACUGACGAAGCGAAGUGUAAUAAUAGCGAAAACGGCGAUGCGUUGCCCGCUGAAGCAAAAAGUUCGUCUUCGAAGUCCACCGGGGCGACACGAAAGGAGGAGAACCCGUUUUCGUUCCGGCAUUUCCUGAAGCGCGACCUAUCGCUGCCGGGCACCUCGACCUACGAGAGCACGGGCGCCCGGCCCAAGGUGUACGCCAGCACGGUGCAACACUCGCCCACGCGGCCCGACGCCGCGCGCGACCCCCAAGCCAAAGAGAAGAGCGCGGAACCCCGCGCCAGUGAUAUUGCGUCUUCAAGUAGUUCUGUAGAGGUGUCUCAUAAUAGUGUAGUGGACAAUACCGAGUGUGAUCAUAACCCGUACGCGGCUGGCGCGGACCCGCAGCCGUACCGGGCCGGCCUGGAGCCGCUGGGCAUGCCGUCGCUGCCUGACUUUGUGCAGGAUCACAUACUUGUGGAACAGGCCUAUCUGAACUCUAACGGGCCCAUAUCAGUGGAUCUGGACAAUCUGCCGGAUUUUACGUUUAACACAAAUUACAACGCGGGUAGUGCGGGGUCGCUGGGGCGGCGAGGGGCGCGAAGUUAUGGAGGACGUGAUUUCGAGUACUCUGCGCCGGCGGGGGCGGGCGCGCGGGCUCGGGUGCCGCUGGACCUGCCGCCGGGCGCGGAGGGCGCGCCGGCCCCGGAUGUGCCACUGAGCCUGGACCUCACCGAGUCUGUGAACCCUGCUGAUCGGCGGAACAUGUCUCCGCGCAGCACCUUCCCACUAGACCUGCCUCCUAAUGCUGGGGCAGAGUCUAUGCGGCUGCCGGACUUCCUGCCGGUGCACCCGGGGCGGACGUCCCCGGAACCAGAGCCUGACUUGCAGCCGCUGUUGCAGGAGUUGGAAAGAACAAGAUCCGAGUUGAGCCUGGAGCGGCGGCAGCGCGCGCGCGCGGAGGACGAGCUGCGCGCCGCGCGGGCCGAGGCGCAGCAGGCGCGGCGCCGGGCUGACGGCGCGGGCGCCCGGGGAGAUGACGCGGUAACAUAUCCCUGCAGGUCCGAGUCGAGCCUGGAGCGGCGGCAGGCGCGGCGCCGGGCUGACGGCGCGGGCGCCCGGGGAGAUGACGCGGUAACAUAUCCCUGCAGGUCCGAGUCGAGCCUGGAGCGGCGGCAGGCGCGGCGCCGGGCUGACGGCGCGGGCGCCCGGGGAGAUGACGCGGUAACAUAUCCCUGCAGGUCCGAGUCGAGCCUGGAGCGGCGGCAGGCGCGGCGCCGGGCUGACGGCGCGGGCGCCCGGGGAGAUGACGCGGUAACAUAUCCCUGCAGGUCCGAGUCGAGCCUGGAGCGGCGGCAGGCGCGGCGCCGGGCUGACGGCGCGGGCGCCCGGGGAGAUGACGCGGUAACAUAUCCCUGCAGGUCCGAGUCGAGCCUGGAGCGGCGGCAGGCGCGGCGCCGGGCUGACGGCGCGGGCGCCCGGGGAGAUGACGCGGUAACAUAUCCCUGCAGGUCCGAGUCGAGCCUGGAGCGGCGGCAGGCGCGGCGCCGGGCUGACGGCGCGGGCGCCCGGGGAGAUGACGCGGUAACAUAUCCCUGCAGGUCCGAGUCGAGCCUGGAGCGGCGGCAGGCGCAGCGCCGGGCUGACGGCGCGGGCGCCCGGGGAGAUGACGCGGUAACAUAUCCCUGCAGGUCCGAGUCGAGCCUGGAGCGGCGGCAGGCGCGGCGCCGGGCUGACGGCGCGGGCGCCCGGGGAGAUGACGCGGUAACAUAUCCCUGCAGGUCCGAGUCGAGCCUGGAGCGGCGGCAGGCGCGGCGCCGGGCUGACGGCGCGGGCGCCCGGGGAGAUGACGCGGUAACAUAUCCCUGCAGGUCCGAGUCGAGCCUGGAGCGGCGACAGGCGCGGCGCCGGGCUGACGGCGCGGGCGCCCGGGGAGAUGACGCGGUAACAUAUCCCUGCAGGUCCGAGUCGAGCCUGGAGCGGCGGCAGGCGCGGCGCCGGGCUGACGGCGCGGGCGCCCGGGGAGAUGACGCGGUAACAUAUCCCUGCAGGUCCGAGUCGAGCCUGGAGCGGCGGCAGGCGCGGCGCCGGGCUGACGGCGCGGGCGCCCGGGGAGAUGACGCGGUAACAUAUCCCUGCAGGUCCGAGUCGAGCCUGGAGCGGCGGCAGGCGCGGCGCCGGGCUGACGGCGCGGGCGCCCGGGGAGAUGACGCGGUAACAUAUCCCUGCAGGUCCGAGUCGAGCCUGGAGCGGCGGCAGGCGCGGCGCCGGGCUGACGGCGCGGGCGCCCGGGGAGAUGACGCGGUAACAUAUCCCUGCAGGUCCGAGUCGAGCCUGGAGCGGCGGCAGGCGCGGCGCCGGGCUGACGGCGCGGGCGCCCGGGGAGAUGACGCGGUAACAUAUCCCUGCAGGUCCGAGUCGAGCCUGGAGCGGCGGCAGGCGCGGCGCCGGGCUGACGGCGCGGGCGCCCGGGGAGAUGACGCGGUAACAUAUCCCUGCAGGUCCGAGUCGAGCCUGGAGCGGCGGCAGGCGCGGCGCCGGGCUGACGGCGCGGGCGCCCGGGGAGAUGACGCGGUAACAUAUCCCUGCAGGUCCGAGUCGAGCCUGGAGCGGCGGCAGGCGCGGCGCCGGGCUGACGGCGCGGGCGCCCGGGGAGAUGACGCGGUAACAUAUCCCUGCAGGUCCGAGUCGAGCCUGGAGCGGCGGCAGGCGCGGCGCCGGGCUGACGGCGCGGGCGCCCGGGGAGAUGACGCGUAUCGAGAAUCACCCGAGUCGGAAUCACUGGUUAAUCAAUUGAGGAUACAAAUCAGGAGGCUUAAGGAGGAGCUAGCGGCCGCUCAAGCCGAGCUGCGCGCCCUGCGCAGCGGCCGCGCCGCCGCCGCCGCCGACCUGCGCGCCGCCGCCGACGUGGCCGAGGCCGAGCUGCGGUAUGUGCCUCCGCUGUCCUCAUGUUGUAUCUAGGAGCAGCUAGCGGCCGCGCCGCCGCCGCCGCCGACCUGCGCGCCGCCGCCGACGUGGCCGAGGCCGAGCUGCGGUAUGUGCCUCCGCUGUCCUCAUGUUGUAUCUAGGAGCAGCUAGCGGCCGCGCCGCCGCCGCCGCCGACCUGCGCGCCGCCGCCGACGUGGCCGAGGCCGAGCUGCGGUAUGUGCCUCCGCUGUCCUCAUGUUGUAUCUAGGAGCAGCUAGCGGCCGCGCCGCCGCCGCCGCCGACCUGCGCGCCGCCGCCGACGUGGCCGAGGCCGAGCUGCGGUAUGUGCCUCCGCUGUCCUCAUGUUGUAUCUAGGAGCAGCUAGCGGCCGCGCCGCCGCCGCCGCCGACCUGCGCGCCGCCGCCGACGUGGCCGAGGCCGAGCUGCGGUAUGUGCCUCCGCUGUCCUCAUGUUGUAUCUAGGAGCAGCUAGCGGCCGCGCCGCCGCCGCCGCCGACCUGCGCGCCGCCGCCGACGUGGCCGAGGCCGAGCUGCGGUAUGUGCCUCCGCUGUCCUCAUGUUGUAUCUAGGAGCAGCUAGCGGCCGCGCCGCCGCCGCCGCCGACCUGCGCGCCGCCGCCGACGUGGCCGAGGCCGAGCUGCGGUAUGUGCCUCCGCUGUCCUCAUGUUGUAUCUAGGAGCAGCUAGCGGCCGCGCCGCCGCCGCCGCCGACCUGCGCGCCGCCGCCGACGUGGCCGAGGCCGAGCUGCGGUAUGUGCCUCCGCUGUCCUCAUGUUGUAUCUAGGAGCAGCUAGCGGCCGCGCCGCCGCCGCCGCCGACCUGCGCGCCGCCGCCGACGUGGCCGAGGCCGAGCUGCGGUAUGUGCCUCCGCUGUCCUCAUGUUGUAUCUAGGAGCAGCUAGCGGCCGCGCCGCCGCCGCCGCCGACCUGCGCGCCGCCGCCGACGUGGCCGAGGCCGAGCUGCGGGACCUGCUGGCGGGCCUGGAGCAGCUCCGCAGCCUGAGCCGCGCGCUGGACGCGUGACGCCGCUAGUGCUAGUCGCCGGCGAGCAAUGAUGAUAACAUAGCAUUCAUGUGGUGUAACAAUAUGGUGAUGAUACCACUUACGAGGGCCCCCUACUAAGUGUGACGGGAGACAUAAUUCUUACCCUAAUUUAUUAUUAUAUUACAAUUUGCCCCUUUCAUAUACAUACUAAGUGAUGUCAAAAAUUAUGUAAAUGUACACAUACAAACAAAAAUAAUGUAAAUAUAAGUUUAAAACGAAAAUAGUAAAGAAAUAAAAUAAGUAUACCACGUGAUCGUCCAUACAAAAAGAGAUAACGUUUUCCCACUUCUAAAUAUUUUCCAUUCUCCAUGAUUUUUUUGUAUGUUAUUGACACAAUGACAAACUAGGUUUAUAGGUUUUCCUUUUUUUCAAAAUUUACAAAUAUAUUUUUUUUUUUUUUUCAAAAAAAGAAACAUUAGUAGAAUAUAUUAUGCUGAAGCGAUCGACAUCAAAAUCAAAGUGAUUUGUUAAGAUUUAGUUAGUAGAAAACAUUUUCUCCCGAAAUGGAAUUUCAUAGAAAAAUUACCGUUAUUUCGUUAGAUUCGAAAAGCUAUUAAAAAUACAAUAAAACAUGUAAUUUCAUACUGUGGGACAUUUUCACAAAUCAACCCACAGCUCUUAGAGGCUUGUCUUAUCCUUCUAAUUAAUUUAUAAUUAGCUGAAAUAAAUGUUUUAUACGUAUGUUCUCGAGUAUCAAUAGCGUUGUCUUCGCACCUCUCAUACAACAAAAUGGUUGUAAUUUUUAAACCCACCAUUAAACGGUAUCACAUUUACCGUUGCACCGACACGGCGCGUCGAGAAUGGAUACCUACAAAACGGAUGGUUGUCAUAGAAAACCGGACAUCUUUUUUCAAUGCACUGAAAGAAAGUGUCUGAAGCACAGGUAAAUGCAGUAACCCCGUUUUUCACUGGCCGCUCUUAUGAAACAAUCUAACUCUAGUUAGAGUUUAUUUUUUAAAUGUAACGUCAUUGUUUCGUUAUUUUAAAACUGAAUCUCAUUAUGAAACAGUUUUCAGAAUGUAAAUGAUUUAGUACAUCUGAGAAAGCGUCUCGCUAGCAGCUGUUUUUCUGUGUAAUACUUUUGUAUAAAAUAUUUGUCAUCAAAAUACCUACCUGUCAUAGAAAUAUAGUUCAUAGUUAAAAAUGUGUAGGUACCAUAUAUACAGUGAGCUAGUUUAUAAUUAUAUUAAAGAAAGAUAAAUAAAAAGAGAACGUGUUGCUUAAAAAAGUGGGUGUUACAAGUAUAUAGACCGUGUCAUUCACGACGCGAGCCUUGACUCGUAUUGUCAGGUUAUCAAAGGUUAGAUUGGACAAGUCUGCGCGCCAUCGUGGAUGACACGAACUAUAAACGCCACUGAAAAUAACGUAUUGAAAUAUCUUUGUAUCAUAACGUUUCUUAAAUGUUUAUAUUUAAACUUGUUGUACCCGACACAAUGUAAAUAGGUACAAGCGAUGGAGAGGGUUCGAUGUGAACGAGAAAGUAAUAUUAUAUAAUAUAACGGUGACACUGCGAGUGAUAUAUCGAGUAAGUAUGUACGUAGCUUAAGGCAGACUGUACGGCGAUUGAAUACUAUUGAAAUAUACUACUAUAAAUUAAUGACCUAACCUGAAUUAUUUGAUGACAAAACUAUUUCACAUCAGAAUAUAACGACUGAGAUUUUUUUAAUGAAAGAAGAGUUCGACCACGCUAAGUUUUCAUGCCAAGUGUUACGUCAAGUAUGGAGCUAGAGGGAUAUGUAUACACUGUUACUGCCGAGACUGUGCAAAGUUAGCGUGGUCGGCGUGUAACUUAAUAGCGCCGGUAAACGUUCUUAGAUACCAGCGGCAUAAUGUUAUUGACAUGAAUCGAUGAUAGUGCGAUCUUGGUAUUUCACAUGUAAAGGUGCUCUCACAUUGUAGUUAUAUGAAGUUACAUGGUGUAGCAAGUUUAACAAAGGAGCAAAACUAUCCCAAUAGUAGCAUAUUAGUAGAAUGUGGAGAAGUUGAUGUCGAUCAAGGGGAGGGGCACAUGGUUAAUACAUAACAGUACUCCUUGAAAUUUUCUACAAAUCGGCCUAACAUAUGAUGUACUUGACAUUUACGGUUAUUUUGUACGGACGAAAUAAAAAUAUUGGGAAAAAUAAAUAGUUUUUUUCUACUUUUCGGUUCGCAAUUACAAAAUAACCGUAAAUGCCAAGUACAUCAUAUGUUACGCGGAUUUGUAGAAAAUUUCAAGGAGUACUGUUAUGUAUUAAUCACGUGCCCCUCCCCUUGAUCGACAUCAACUUCUCCACAUUCUACUAAUAUACUACUAUUGGGACAGUUUUGCUCCUAAGUGUAUGACGUUAUAUAAGUGGUGUAUUCUCAUUUAUCCUCGCCGGGCACAGAUGAGAAUAGGUAUAUUCCCAACUGUGCCCGCCCCACGUGACCACCGCCAUACAAGAGGCGGGCACAGAUGAGAAUACACCCAUUAAUAUGCCUCAUUCCCCUGCCGUCUCAUGCAUGGCGGCGGCCACGUGGCACGGGGACAACUGGGAACACACCACAUAACAUUAUAUAAUUGCAGUGACAGAGCAUAAUAACAAGCAAUCACCGUAUAGAUAAGGUAUUCUCUAGGCACUUGUGUCUUGUAUGGACGAGGCUUAUAUCCAGAAUAUAAAUAUAUUUAUUGUAACAUUUACUUUUUAUACUUAACUUAUGCACCUUCCUUUAUGAGAUAAGCUACGAUAGUUGUGUGUUUACCUAUUUCGCUCUUUUCAACUGUUUAAAUCAUUUUGACUAUAAUUUCAGUUUGUGCCUUACCUAGUAGAUAUUUUUUAUCGUUCCUCAAUAAUAUAUGUUCUAUUUGUCGUGUAUGGAAUUGAGAAGAUUGUUUAAUGAUUAUUUUAAGACGGUUUGUUUCAAUGUACUCACGGAUGGAUCUUCCGGAUUAAAGAACUUACUUUGUUAAAA
Cydia pomonella (codling moth) is the source of this 7561-nucleotide RNA transcript. It is a transcript of the gene named ribosome-binding protein 1-like, with no coding region annotated. The transcript is spliced from 7 exons. Lineage: Eukaryota; Metazoa; Arthropoda; Insecta; Lepidoptera; Tortricidae. The record is from RefSeq and is a predicted model, not a curated record.